UACGUAGGGGGCAAGCGUUGUCCGGAAUCAUUGGGCGUAAAGCGCGCGUAGGCGGCCCUGUAAGUCCGCUGUAAAAGUCAAAGGCUCAACCUUUGAAAGCCGGUGGAUACUGCAGGGCUAGAGUCCGGAAGGGGCGAGUGGAAUUCCUGGUGUAGCGGUGAAAUGCGCAGAUAUCAGGAGGAACACCGAUGGCGAAGGCAGGUCUCUGGGCCACUACUGACGCUGAGAAGCGAAAGCAUGGGGAGCGAACAGG
This 253-nucleotide ribosomal RNA is filed under the name uncultured bacterium. RNAcentral describes it as "partial 16S ribosomal RNA". It matches the Rfam family "Bacterial small subunit ribosomal RNA", at positions 524 to 776 of the family's 1533-position model. The record is from RNAcentral.